AUGGAUAUGGAACAAGAAAUACCAAAAAAAUUAGGUGUACCUGCUACUCAUGGAGAUGGGGAACCUCCUAAAACCCUCGAUGCUCAAUAUGUGAAAAAUAUUAUGUACCACUUUGAUAAUCCUGAGAAAACCUCAUUCAAUCUGGUAAUGGGAGUAACGUUGGAUCAACGUGAAUACUUUAGGGAUUAUCGCUUGACACAAAAAGGGAAACUAUUAUGGGAUCAAAUUUAUAUAUUGUAUUGGUAUGCUAGGAAACUAUGCUUGAGAUAUGAUUAUACUUGUUGCUCUAGGAUGAAGGCUCCACACCUUCCAUUUUCAUGUGAAUUUAAUGAUCAUGAAACCUUAGCUUCUUAUGCUAAUGGUAUAUAUGAUUACUAUGAUGUGGAACAAAUAGAAGAAUUUGUUUCUUUUAAGGGUGCUUAUGAAAUUGAAUCUUUGUUUGAAAAGUAUGAAGCUUUUGAUGAUGAUGUUUAUAGGCCUGAAAAUUUAGCUAUUCCAAAAUAUUGCUAUGAUAAUUAUGAAUAUAAUUCCUAUAUUAAUGCGCUUAUUAAGAAAGUCUGUGCAAGAAGAGACUAA
This 576-nucleotide ribosomal RNA is filed under the name Triticum aestivum (bread wheat). RNAcentral's name for it is "partial small subunit ribosomal RNA". Lineage: Eukaryota; Viridiplantae; Streptophyta; Magnoliopsida; Poales; Poaceae. The record is from RNAcentral.